CACGAAUGGCGUAACGAUGGCCACACUGUCUCCACCCGAGACUCAGUGAAGUUGAAAUUGCUGUGAAGAUGCAGUGUACCUGCGGCAAGACGGAAAGACCCCGUGAACCUUUACUGUAGCUUGACACUGAUAUUCGGGCAAAUUUGUGUAGGAUAGGUGGGAGACUUUGAAGCGGAGGCGCUAGCUUUCGUGGAGUCGUCCUUGAAAUACCACCCUGGUUUAUUUGGAUAUCUAACCUAGGCCCGUUAUCCGGGUCGGGGACACUGUCUGGUGGGCAGUUUGACUGGGGCGGUCGCCUAACAAAAAGUAACGGAGGCGCGCAAAGGUUCUCUCAGCCUGAUUGGAAACCAGGCGACGAGUGCAAUGGCAUAAGAAAGCUUAACUGCGAGACCGACGGGUCGAGCAGAUGGGAAACCAGGUCAUAGUGAUCCGGUGGCUCCGUGUGGAAGGGCCAUCGCUUAACGGAUAAAAGGUACUCCGGGGAUAACAGGCUGAUCACGCCCAAGAGUUCAUAUCGACGGCGUGGUUUGGCACCUCGAUGUCGACUCAUCGCAUCCUGGGGCUGGAGCAGGUCCCAAGGGUAUGGCUGUUCGCCAUUUAAAGCGGUACGUGAGUUGGGUUCAGAACGUCGUGAGACAGUUCGGUCCCUAUCUGCCGUAGGCGUAGGAGAUUUGAGGGAAGCUGACCUUAGUACGAGAGGACCGGGUUGGACAAACCUCUUGUGAACCGGUUGUCACGCCAGUGGCACAGCCGGGUAGCUAUGUUUGGACGGGAUAACCGCUGAAAGCAUCUAAGCGGGAAGCCUCUCCCAAGAUGAGAUCUCCCGAGUGAAAAACUCCUAAAGACCCCUUGUAGACUACGAGGUGAUAGGCUAGAAGUGGAAGCGCAGUAAUGCGUGAAGCUGACUAGUACUAAUAGGUCGUGAGGUUUAGUAUC
Molecule: ribosomal RNA, 936 nt
Filed under: Myxococcales bacterium
Lineage: Bacteria; Pseudomonadati; Myxococcota; Myxococcia; Myxococcales
Description: partial 23S ribosomal RNA
Rfam family: Bacterial large subunit ribosomal RNA
Source: RNAcentral